CAGUAGCCGCGGGAAUACGUAGGGUGCGAGCGUUAAUCGGAAUUACUGGGCGUAAAGCGUGCGCAGGCGGCUUUGCAAGACAGAUGUGAAAUCCCCGGGCUCAACCUGGGAACUGCAUUUGUGACUGCAAGGCUAGAGUACGGUAGAGGGGGAUGGAAUUCCGCGUGUAGCAGUGAAAUGCGUAGAUAUGCGGAGGAACACCAAUGGCGAAGGCAAUCCCCUGGACCUGUACUGACGCUCAUGCACGAAAGCGUGGGGAGCAAACAGGAUUAGAUACCCGUGUAGUCCCUGUCUCUUAUAC
RNAcentral lists this ribosomal RNA (301 nucleotides) under uncultured bacterium. RNAcentral describes it as "partial 16S ribosomal RNA". It matches the Rfam family "Bacterial small subunit ribosomal RNA", at positions 509 to 807 of the family's 1533-position model. The record is from RNAcentral.